AUUGAACGCUGGCGGCAGGCCUAACACAUGCAAGUCGAACGAGUGGCGGACGGGAGAGUAAUGUCGGGGAAUCCGCCUGAGGGAGGGGGAUAACUACUGGAAACGGUAGCUAAUACCGCAUACCCUCAGAUGUGCCCAGAUGGGAUUAGCUUGUUGGUGGGGUAACGGCUCACCAAGGCGACGAUCCCUAGCUGGUCUGAGAGGAUGACCAGCCACACUGGAACUGAGACACGGUCCAGACUCCUACGGGAGGCAGCAGUGGGGAAUAUUGCACAAUGGGCGCAAGCCUGAUGCAGCCAUGCCGCGUGUAUGAAGAAGGCCUUCGGGUUGUAAAGUACUUUCAGCGGGGAGGCGUUACCCGCAGAAGAAGCACCGGCUAACUCCGUGCCAGCAGCCGCGGUAAUAC
Molecule: ribosomal RNA, 406 nt
Filed under: uncultured bacterium
Lineage: Bacteria
Description: partial 16S ribosomal RNA
Rfam family: Bacterial small subunit ribosomal RNA
Source: RNAcentral